AUUGCGCUGAAAUUGGCAGUUAUCUUCUACCUAUCUCAUGCCUUUCACUUAUAGGGAACAAAAAGGGCUUUAGGAAUGAAGUUCCUAUGAGACCUAUUCUUUUCUACAGGUUUUACACGUUCAUGCUUUUGCUUUGGCCGGUCUCCUUUGAUUCUUGUUAAAACCUAUUCUUAUGCUGAAUCCAUGGUGCAAUACUUGGAGUUCUCAUCUUACUUCGCCUCCUUUUCUUUUACUGAUUGCAGGUCUUUCUUAUUUGGUGCAACAAUCUUAGUGUGGAUCAGUUUGAACUUUGAAUCGUUUCGACUAUCUUCAAGUAAUCUUUUGCAUUGCUCUUUUAAUGUGGCAGUGAACAACGAGGGGAAAGUUCUAUC
Long non-coding RNA from Telopea speciosissima, 371 nucleotides. RefSeq lists it as uncharacterized. The transcript is spliced from 2 exons. The record is from RefSeq and is a predicted model, not a curated record. Lineage: Eukaryota; Viridiplantae; Streptophyta; Magnoliopsida; Proteales; Proteaceae.